AGAAAAAGAAGAAGAAGAAGAAGAAGCAGAAGAAGAAGAAGAAGAAGAAGAAGAAGAAAGAGUAUAGGAGGAGAAAGAGAAAAGAAAGAAGAAAAAGAAGAAGAGGAGGAGGAGGAGGAGAAAAAAGAAGAAGAUGAAGAAUAAUAAGAAGAUGAUCAAGAAGAAGAAGAAGAAGAAGAAGAAGAAGAAAAAGAAGAGAGAGGAAAAGAAGAAAGGAGAGGAAAAAGGAACCCCGGCACCCCGACACCGACCCUCGACCUCCGACCCCUGACGCCCGACGCCACUGACCCUCGACCCUCGACCCCCGACGCCACUAACCAUCGACCCCCGACCCUCGAUCCCCGAUGCCCGACGCCACUGACCCUCGACCCCGGACCCCUGACACCUAUUCGGCCUCUUGUUGACCGAAAAGACCCCAACCCCCGACGCGAGUGAC
RNAcentral lists this long non-coding RNA (436 nucleotides) under Hordeum vulgare. RNAcentral describes it as "long non-coding RNA (HVUL_LNC019794)". The record is from RNAcentral. Lineage: Eukaryota; Viridiplantae; Streptophyta; Magnoliopsida; Poales; Poaceae.